This 594-nucleotide long non-coding RNA is filed under the name Cricetulus griseus (Chinese hamster). Its description in RNAcentral is "lncRNA (ENSCGRG00015036184.1)". Lineage: Eukaryota; Metazoa; Chordata; Mammalia; Rodentia; Cricetidae. The record is from RNAcentral.
GAGCUGAGCAGAGGACUUUGCAAGCCUUAACAGAUUCCAAGACAGGAGAGAUAAUCUUCAAGAUAGGACAUGCUCAAAGGAUGGAGUUUGUCCUGUGGUGUUGGAUAUAUCCUCACAUUUGAAGACUUGGAACUAGUAGCUUCAGAUGAGAGAGAACAUGAAGAUCACAUUGAGUGAGGAAGCCCAGACCCAGAAAGCUGUGUCUUUUAAAUGAUUCCACAUCCAGCAGUGUUGACAAUGAAGAUUAACUGUCACCGCCUGAAAUGCACAGGUCAUGGACGGUCAUCCUCUCAUCAGCUAUCCAGUCCAAAUGGCCAGUAGGUGCUAAGGUUAAGGAACUUUGCUCUGUCGAGAUGAAUAUGUGUGCUAGAGGAACUAGAGAUGGUAAGGUUUUAUGUUACAUGCAACAAUUUAUCAUUAAGACAUUUUGGGGUAUUAGGUGCCUGUUAAUUUCAAUGUAUUCCCCAAAGUCAAUUAGUGAAUUUAAUCAAGAGCUUGAAUGUCAGAGCUGGUACAUGAAUGUUCCAGGCAGAAGCAGAGGCAUUCCCAGGACUUUGGUAUCUGUCGUUAAUAUAAAUUGUGUUUGGAUUAGUG